UGGGGAAGCCUGAUCUAGAGGCAUGUUCUUUGAGUUCUGCGCUUCUCACAGAAGAGGCUUGCACCCUCUUUGGGGGAAUUUCCACCUCCACCUGCAACUCUGCAUGCCCCAUCCCAACCCAUUCCUGAGAGUCACCAGUCUCUCAGGAACUGCUUUUUGGAUAAGUUGAAGGGCUGUUGUGGAGAGGGAACCAGGAAAGUUGGCUUGCACAAACUUCUUUGGCACUUGCAGGUCAAUAAAACAUUCAAUAUAGUUUGAACCACUGCAUAUUAGCAAGAGGGGAGGGGAGGAAGUUGCCACAUAACUGGUCACAUUAUGUCAUUUACAAAAUUGAAGCUAAAAAUACCUGCAACAAUUUCUCAGUGAAAAAGAUUACUGCUUUAAUCAUCAGGUGAGUGGCCAUUAUUCUCUUCAGGGCUGGUGAAGCAAUGGGGAUGUCUCCUAAAAUAUAUAGAGUUCAUAUAUCACAAAAAAAAUGUGAUUACAAGUAAUCUGGUAGUUUUUCUCCCCCCCACCCCCCAUCUGCUCUUAAACAGUUGAAAUUAAGGUUUGAAAUGCCUAUUUGGCCACGCCCCCCCCAACAGACAGCAGCCAUGUUGACUCUGCUAUGACAUCAUUGCUGCUUUUUAAAAUUUGAGGCCUGGUCAUUCUGAGUAUUGAGAGUGAAGUUUCCUGCAGUAAUCUGACCAAAAGCAAACUUUGAUUUUGAAAAAUCCAGAAGGUAUAAGUGGUAUAUAGUACCACUGUGCAAGAGCACAACAAAUAAAGCACACUGGGGGAAAAUAUUGGUGUAUACAGUUAAAGAGAAGAAGCAAUGGGAAGCUUGGGUAGAUGCAGAGAGAAGAGAAAAGUUGUUCAUUGCUGUUUAUGUGUCAUGACCAUUUCAAUAUGUAAUCUUCACUGGCAGCAAACAAACAGGAUGUCAUGCAGGAAUCUACAAAUGGCAGACUUCCUGAAUUUCCUUUCACAAACCUUUUCUCAUGUUAAGGAAUCAGUGCAAAACAAGUCACAGACAGGGCCGGUUUGAGACUUCUGGCCUGCCCAGAAUGGGAAGGUUGAGCAGCGCUGAUGUCAUAAUCACCUCAACCAAUGGGAGAGCAAUUUUGCUCUGCCAGGCCAAUGUGAAUCUUUAAACCGGUUUUAAAAACCAACUGCUUCAUGUAGGAUGAAAAAAAAUUGCUACACUACCUAAUGGUGAGCUGCUUAAUACUACUAAAAAUGCUAUGAGAUUUGGGAGAUAGCCCCAUUCCCCAGAAACUGAUGGAAUCCGAGGGAUUACUCAGGGCCCUCAUGGAGUUCCUGUCAAAGCCCUAAUCACUCUGUGGAAUGCAGAUGACUUGGGAGACUGGUAUGGUUGCUCUUAUCCCGUAAUACAGAACUUUGACAAUUCCAUAUGUCUACCAGGGACCUGGGGCCAUGAAGCAAAUUGGGAGUUGGCUGGAACACAUGACAGAAAACUGAGUUGUCCAGGCCUCCUCCACACUUGGCCCACAGGAAAAGGAACCCUCAGAUGCAAGUUGUGGCAUGUUUUGCUAAACACUUCAAGGACAGACUUGUUUGCUUCUGUCUUGACUUCAAUGGCACUAGUUCUCCGGUUCAAAGGAAGCAUCCAGCUAUCUGGUCUACAUUUGACAGUUAUUUCUGUCGGAGGAUGUAGAAAAGGCACGUGAAGUGUUGUGACCUACCACACAUUUGCUCAGCCCUUGCCCCUUCUUGGUUAAUAAUAUUCACUGAGGGAAAUGACUGUCUAAAUCCAGGAAGUCAUCCAUGUCUCAUUAUGAGAGAGUUCAGUCUUUCCCUUGAAGGGGGUUACUGGGAAAUUGGUCUUAAAAAAACCAGUCUUGGACCCUAAGGAUUGCAAUAACUAUUCACCAUUCACACUGAUGAUGUUCUUUUGGCGCCUGGUAAAUAUAUUUUUGUUCUCUUAGCUCCCUUUACAUUGUCUUGACUGUAUCUAGCUGUUUCUUUAACUGCUAUGUCUCACUGUGUUUUGCUGUAUUUUAUACUGUUUAAUACUGUCCAUUUUCAGAAAACCAUCCCAGAAACAUUGAAGGGCGGUAUGUUUAAAAAACAAACAAAAAACAGCCAACUGAAUUUCUGUUAAUAAACAGUUUAUUUAUGACUGAGAAA
This is a long non-coding RNA of Hemicordylus capensis (graceful crag lizard), 2130 nucleotides long. RefSeq lists it as uncharacterized. The transcript is spliced from 2 exons. NCBI's taxonomy places the organism in Eukaryota, Metazoa, Chordata, Lepidosauria, Squamata, Cordylidae. The record is from RefSeq and is a predicted model, not a curated record.